Molecule: long non-coding RNA, 2567 nt
Filed under: Marmota monax (woodchuck)
Lineage: Eukaryota; Metazoa; Chordata; Mammalia; Rodentia; Sciuridae
Source: RNAcentral
CUACCUGCAGGGAUUCCUCCCCGUGGAUGGCCCUGGGGAGUCCUCUCUGGUCUUGUAGCACGGUUGGGUACACAUUUCUGGAAGAGUCACAGCUGGAAGAGGAGGUCGCCGCUUGUGUUCAGUCUACCAUCUUGAAAUGGAGAGUAUUCAUUGAAAAGUCAAGAAAAAUGUCUCCGUCUUUCCUCCGGCUCCCCCUUCCUCCCAUUCCUUCUUCUUUUUCCUUAUUUUUUGGGGGGCGCAUAGUGGGGAUCAAACUCCAGGCAUUUUACCACAUCCCCAGCCCUAUUUUGUAUUUUUUUUUUUUUAUUUAGAGACAGGGUCUACACUGAGUUCCUUAGGGCCUCACUGAGUUGCUGAGGCUGGCUUUGAACUUGGGAUCCUCCUGCCUCAGCCUCCUGCACCACUGGGAUGAGAGGCAUGGGCCACUUCACCCGGCCCACUCCUUGUUUUGUACCAAGGUAGAGGCUGUGAGUUGAAGUGAGGCAGAGGAAAGAUCUGGAAAACUUGCAGGGAUGAAGUAAGAUGAGAGUCAAGACAAGAGCACUUGAGCUGUCAGCCAGCGUGUGAUUUUCUGGACCUGCUGCACACGGUGUAUCUAUAUUUGUUUUCUCAUUUUAAAAUGUUAGUUUUAUAAAAAUUAACACUGUAGGUUGGUUUCAGCCUCAAUGAUACGUGAUCCCAUGAAAAAUCCUCUUUAUCUUCACGAUGAUGUCUUCAUGUUCAGCUGUUAGAAUUAUACAUCUCUAGGUUUGUAGUGGGAAAUGGGGGUCAGGACACCAAGAUCUGGAAGCAACCCUCUAUUAGUUGUGCCAUGACCUAGAGGGAUAAUUCCCAAAGUCUGAGCCCCGAGCACAGCAGGGCUUUUGCUUUUAUACAUAAGCAAGUUUGGGGCACAUCAAGGCAAGGGAGUUGGAGCAAUUCUAUUGGAGGGUGCAUUUGACAUUCCUUAUUUGGGUCCUAGUUCCUCAAUAGCCUGGGGACCCUAAGCUCAUACCGCUUAGGGACUUCUGAAGUUAAAGCAAAGAAGGCGGAACAUUCUAGAACUGCUGUGAGAGUUUGUAGCUUAAAUUUCUGCAUCUUGUCCCACUCCCCAUGAUAUACAACAGCCCAGCUAGAACCAAAUUAGAAAAUUGAUUUAUAAAAAAAAUGGCAGCACUUUGGUCCUCCACAGCUCAGCCAAUCCCCUUUGGAUAUUUCUGUCUCUGUGAUUUCCAAUCUUUCUGCUAAUGAACGUGGCGAGGCUGUGCUCUGGAAUGACUAGAAAUGCUGUGGCGUAGGCACUGUGGUCUGACAGAGCCUCCCCAUCCCACCUGCAGAACAGGAACUCCCCCUCCCCAGCCCCGUGGGGUAGCUGCAUCUCACUUCCUGGCCUGCGCAGGCCUGACCCAUCUUUGAGCAGAAGCACAGCAGAAAAGCAGGAGUCCCAUGUCACCUUCUAAGCCGUUUCCUUAUUUACAUGUCACUGUGAUCAGCAAUUCCCAGGACAACACAAUCAGCCAUCUUACCCAGGCCAAUAAACAAAGACAAUAAUAAAUAAAUAAAUAAUCCUUCUCAGGGUCCCUUUCUCAAGGUCCUUCUCCCAGGACGACUUUCAUCUGUCCAGAAGCAAACUUUAAGCACAAAGAUAAGGAUGUUGUUUGUCUCCGCCCGGGUUCCUGGGCAGUAUACAUGUUUGAUCUGCCAAAACUUUGAAAAGGAAGUAGACUGAACUGAGUUUCCCCAGAACUGUAUUCCACGGCAUGUCCGGCUCCUCGCAGGGCUUGUGGAAGUUCCACUGUCACUGGCCUCUGCAAUCCGAGCAAGGAGACAGCUGCAAAAAGCAUCUUCUAGCCAAAACGUGAUUUGGGAAAGGUCAUUUUAUUACAUGAUUUAUUUAUACUGUUUCUUCAUGGUACAAAGCGUUCUGAUGUGUACACAGAGUCCAGAGAAAGAGAAGAAAAAUUUUAAGAAAACCUCCAGGCCUACAACUCAGAGGCACCAGAGAGUCCAUGGAGAUAUUUGGGGUAGAUUCUGAAAGUUGGGUUAAGUUUUUUCAAUUAUAGCUUCUUUGAAUCCAUCAAAUUCAAAAGGCAGUUCUAUAUGAUAAGAUCGAUCUUCUACCAGAUCCUGGGAGGCUUCAUCAGUGAGAAACAGGAUUAGAAGUAGGGCUUGCUUUUAUACUCAGCAAAAACAAUCAAGAUAUUCUUCCCCUUUCAGAAAAGAAACAAAAGGCAGCUUCAUCAAAUUUCCAAUGGUUUAUCUUUUUUGGAUGGUAUGUUGCCAUUUUAAAGGAUUUAGGUUUUCUCUUCUGGAAUUCUCUUCCCCAAAGAGGCAUGUUAGCUAUAUAUUCAGCAAGAUUACAAUAUUUAAUAUGGAAAGUUGAAUGUCUGUGUAAAUGAAAACAGAUGGACAGUUUUGUUUAUCUUCUCUUGGCUUUAUCAUUGUGUAGUAAGCACGUGGGUGGGAUUUUAAAGUCCAAGUCUGUGAUGGUGACAGGGAGAACAUACUAGUAAAUACUUCUUGGACCAUAUAUUUCAUGUGACCUCUCCCUGAUGUGAAGUCCCAGUUAAAUGGGUUGAGUUUUUUGA